GCCUUGCUGACGAGUGCUAACUAGGACGAAACCUGGGUCCAAGGC
This 45-nucleotide non-coding RNA is filed under the name Trichobilharzia regenti. Lineage: Eukaryota; Metazoa; Platyhelminthes; Trematoda; Strigeidida; Schistosomatidae. The record is from RNAcentral.